Long non-coding RNA from Pomacea canaliculata, 882 nucleotides. RefSeq lists it as uncharacterized. Lineage: Eukaryota; Metazoa; Mollusca; Gastropoda; Architaenioglossa; Ampullariidae. The record is from RefSeq and is a predicted model, not a curated record. The transcript has 2 exons.
AUAAAAGUUAUGCUUUGAACAGACAGAAGAACCCUUCACAAGAAAGAGAGUUGAAUGAAACUUCGACAGUGACACUCGUCACAAACGCCAUCAACGAUGAUUCUUUGUCUACAACUGUCAUUAUCGCUGUCUCUACCAUCAGCAUUGUUAUUAUGAUCAUCUCCAGUUUCGUCCGUGAUACUCAAAAGGUGUCGUCCCAGAUCCUACUUUCGACAAACCUACAAGUUCUCGCUACAAGAGCGGAACAGCGAACGAGCUAACAGAAAUGCAUUCCGAAGACCGGCAUCAGUAUGAUGUUCCUGAAAAUGUGGAAUACACUGACUGCAGAUCGCAGACUGUAGGGGAACAUUAGUCACGUGAUGAGCAGUCAGCCAAUACAAUGACGCAGGGCUGACUUUAAGCCCUCGCGUUGACGUCAGAUAUUUUUAGACUGUGUGCGAACGUCAGCGCCAGUCUGAUGCAUGCUAGUAUUUUUGCGAGUAACAAACGUAUCACGAACCAAAAAAAUCUCACACAUUCAUACACAUAUUCUCUCUCACUCUCUCUGUCUCACUCUCUCUCACACACAUAGAGAUAAACUGGCAGAUGGGAAGACAUUAUUAGAAAUCAGCUCCAAAAGUCGUCGUCGUCGUCGUCAUCAUCUCAUCAUCAUCAUCAUCAUCAUCAUCAUCAUCAUCAUCAUCAUCAUCAUCAUCAUCCGUGGCAUUAUUGUUGCAAUGUUCAUGCCUAAAUGUGUUUUUUUAUUUAUCAUACAUGUACGAGUUUUCAGACAAAAGUUUUCAUAAUAAUAUCUAUAGUACCUCGUUCUUUUCUAAACUGAUGAAUCUUUGUUUGCUGACUGCGCUUGAACCCAGCAAUAAAGGCGACAUAAUGAGGGAAUUU